Molecule: small RNA, 298 nt
Filed under: Choloepus hoffmanni (Hoffmann's two-fingered sloth)
Lineage: Eukaryota; Metazoa; Chordata; Mammalia; Pilosa; Megalonychidae
Description: 7SK RNA (ENSCHOG00000015662.1)
Source: RNAcentral
AGCCAAGAGGGAGCUCUCCUUCCUUCCCACCCCUCAGCCCCUGCCCCAGUUGGCUCACCAUGUUGUUACCCCUCUCUGCCCGCUGCUGCUUGCCUUCUCAAGCACAGUGCUUUAUUAGAAGAGAACUUCCCUCGAAGAGAAAGGAAAACCUUCUUCAGUUGAGGGUGAAUAAAUAGCUGCAUUUUCUGCUAAAACAUCCCAGCAAGCUUUCAAGUUAGCAACAUGUUGCCCUUAACCAAGUUUACAAAACCCAGGAUACCUUUUUAUGUUUUGCAAAUUGCAGCAAAUCAAACACUGA